RNAcentral lists this ribosomal RNA (393 nucleotides) under uncultured bacterium. RNAcentral describes it as "partial 16S ribosomal RNA". It matches the Rfam family "Bacterial small subunit ribosomal RNA", at positions 523 to 918 of the family's 1533-position model. The record is from RNAcentral.
AUACGGAGGAUCCGAGCGUUAUCCGGAUUUAUUGGGUUUAAAGGGUGCGCAGGCGGGAGAUUAAGUCGGCGGUGAAAUUUUUUAGUUCAAAUGUAAAAAUGCCUUUGAAAAUGGUUUCCUUUAGUGUAUAUGUAUUUGGCGGAAUUUGUGGAUUAUCGGUUCAAUGCAUAGAUAUCACGAGGAACUCCGAUUGCGCAGGCAGCUUACUAAACUACUACUGACGCUCAGGCACGAAGGCGUGGGGAUCAAACAGGAUUAGAUACCCUGGUAGUCCACGCAGUAAACGAUGAUUACUAGCUGUUUGCGAUACAAUGUAAGCGGCUGAGCGAAAGCGUUAAGUAAUCCACCUGGGGAGUACGUUCGCAAGAAUGAAACUCAAAGGAAUUGACGGGG